GAUGAACGCUGGCGGCGUGCCUAAUACAUGCAAGUCGAGCGAACGGACGAGAAGCUUGCUUCUCUGAUGUUAGCGGCGGACGGGUGAGUAACACGUGGAUAACCUACCUAUAAGACUGGGAUAACUUCGGGAAACCGUAGCUAAUACCGGAUAAUAUUUUGAACCGCAUGGUUCAAAAGUGAAAGACGGUCUUGCUGUCACUUAUAGAUGGAUCCGCGCUGCAUUAGCUAGUUGGUAAGGUAACGGCUUACCAAGGCAACGAUGCAUAGCCGACCUGAGAGGGUGAUCGGCCACACUGGAACUGAGACACGGUCCAGACUCCUACGGGAGGCAGCAGUAGGGAAUCUUCCGCAAUGGGCGAAAGCCUGACGGAGCAACGCCGCGUGAGUGAUGAAGGUCUUCGGAUCUUAAAACUCUGUUAUUAGGGAAGAACAUAUGUGUAAGUAACUGUGCACAUCUUGACGGUACCUAAUCAGAAAGCCACGGCUAGCUACGUG
RNAcentral lists this ribosomal RNA (497 nucleotides) under uncultured bacterium. Its description in RNAcentral is "partial 16S ribosomal RNA". It matches the Rfam family "Bacterial small subunit ribosomal RNA", at positions 28 to 507 of the family's 1533-position model. The record is from RNAcentral.